GAAGAAUAAGAAGACAGAGUUAUAGUUCAUAUUACCAAUUAGUGUUGGUACAAUAUUUUCUUAUUUUGAGAUCAUAAUCCUAGUACUAGUAGAACUAAGUCAUUAUACUAUAGUUACCUAUAUUAUCUAGGCAUUUUAUAAGGGCUUGCUAUAAUUGUUAUUUACAAUAGAGAAUUAAUAAGAAUUUUGUCAAUUUUAUUCAUUCGGCUUUGAUUGUUCUAUUGGUUCUAC
RNAcentral lists this unclassified non-coding RNA (231 nucleotides) under Hevea brasiliensis (rubber tree). The record is from RNAcentral. Lineage: Eukaryota; Viridiplantae; Streptophyta; Magnoliopsida; Malpighiales; Euphorbiaceae.